RNAcentral lists this ribosomal RNA (253 nucleotides) under uncultured bacterium. RNAcentral describes it as "partial 16S ribosomal RNA". It matches the Rfam family "Archaeal small subunit ribosomal RNA", at positions 474 to 727 of the family's 1478-position model. The record is from RNAcentral.
UACCAGCACCCCGAGUGGUCGGGACGAUUAUUGGGCCUAAAGCAUCCGUAGCCGGUUCUGCAAGUCCCCCGUUAAAUCCAGCUGCUCAACAGAUGGGCCGCGGAGGAUACUACAGAGCUAGGAGGCAGGAGAGGCAAGCGGUACUCAGUGGGUAGGGGUAAAAUCCGUUGAUCCAUUGAAGACCACCAGUGGCGAAGGCGGCUUGCCAGAAUGCGCUCGACGGUGAGGGAUGAAAGCUGGGGGAGCAAACAGG